GAUGAACGCUGGCGGCGUGCCUAAUACAUGCAAGUCGAUCGAGGGAGACACAGCUUGCUGAGUCGAACUAGAGGCGAACGGGUGAGUAAUACAUAAGCAACCUGCCCACGAAGACUGGGAUAAUCCCUGGAAACGGGGACUAAGACCGGAUAGGUAACGGGACCGCAUGGUCUUGUUAUUAAAGGACAAAAACACUGGUGGAUGGGCUUAUGGCGCAUUAGUUAGUUGGUGAGGUAACGGCCCACCAAGACGAUGAUGCGUAGCCGGCCUGAGAGGGUGAACGGCCACAUUGGGACUGAGACACGGCCCAGACUCC
RNAcentral lists this ribosomal RNA (316 nucleotides) under uncultured Bulleidia sp. RNAcentral describes it as "bacterial SSU rRNA". It matches the Rfam family "Bacterial small subunit ribosomal RNA", at positions 28 to 339 of the family's 1533-position model. Lineage: Bacteria; Bacillati; Bacillota; Erysipelotrichia; Erysipelotrichales; Erysipelotrichaceae. The record is from RNAcentral.